GACGAACGCUGGCGGCGUGCUUAACACAUGCAAGUCGAACGGAAAGGCCCUGCUUUUGUGGGGUGCUCGAGUGGCGAACGGGUGAGUAACACGUGAGUAACCUGCCCUUGACUUUGGGAUAACUUCAGGAAACUGGGGCUAAUACCGGAUAGGAGCUCCUGCUGCAUGGUGGGGGUUGGAAAGUUUCGGCGGUUGGGGAUGGACUCGCGGCUUAUCAGCUUGUUGGUGGGGUAGUGGCUUACCAAGGCUUUGACGGGUAGCCGGCCUGAGAGGGUGACCGGCGACAUUGGGACUGAGAUACGGCCCAGACUCCUACGGGAGGCAGCAGUGGGGAAUAUUGCACAAUGGGCGGAAGCCUGAUGCAGCAACGCCGCGUGCGGGAUGACGGCCUUCGAGUUGUAAACCGCUUUCGCCUGUGACGAAGCGUGAGUGACGGUAAUGGGUAAAGAAGCACCGGCUAACUACGUG
Molecule: ribosomal RNA, 468 nt
Filed under: uncultured bacterium
Lineage: Bacteria
Description: partial 16S ribosomal RNA
Rfam family: Bacterial small subunit ribosomal RNA
Source: RNAcentral